AGCUUUGCACAGUGGCAGUAUCGUAGCCAAUGAGGUUUAUCCGAGGCUCGAUUAUUGCUAAUUGAAAAAUAUACAUUAUGGAACAAUAUAUACCCUGAAGAAAGUUAGUUACUUGCUCCACUUGGGG
This 127-nucleotide small nuclear RNA is filed under the name Vulpes vulpes (red fox). Its description in RNAcentral is "U4 spliceosomal RNA (ENSVVUG00000014287.1)". It matches the Rfam family "U4 spliceosomal RNA". From Rfam's summary of the family: U4 small nuclear RNA (U4 snRNA) is a component of the major U2-dependent spliceosome. The structure of U4 snRNA from yeast and human has been reported. U4 snRNA presents a k-turn RNA motif in the 5p-SL related to recognition of Snu13 protein. Lineage: Eukaryota; Metazoa; Chordata; Mammalia; Carnivora; Canidae. The record is from Rfam by way of RNAcentral.